GGCCGGUUAGCUCAGCUGGUUAGAGCAUAGUGCUAAUAAUGCCAAGAUCAUGGGUUCGGCCCCUGUACGGGCCA
Albula glossodonta (roundjaw bonefish) is the source of this 74-nucleotide non-coding RNA. Lineage: Eukaryota; Metazoa; Chordata; Actinopteri; Albuliformes; Albulidae. The record is from the annotation of a GenBank genome assembly.